RNAcentral lists this ribosomal RNA (484 nucleotides) under uncultured bacterium. RNAcentral describes it as "partial 16S ribosomal RNA". It matches the Rfam family "Bacterial small subunit ribosomal RNA", at positions 30 to 507 of the family's 1533-position model. The record is from RNAcentral.
AUUGAACGCUAGCGGGAUGCUUUACACAUGCAAGUCGAACGGCAGCGCGGACUUCGGUCUGGCGGCGAGAGGCGAACGGGUGAGUAAUGUAUCGGAACGUGCCCAGUAGCGGGGGAUAACUACGCGAAAGCGUAGCUAAUACCGCAUACGCCCUACGGGGGAAAGCAGGGGAUCGUAAGACCUUGCACUCUUGGAGCGGCCGAUAUCGGAUUAGCUAGUUGGUGAGGUAACGGCUCACCAAGGCGACGAUCCGUAGCUGGUUUGAGAGGACGACCAGCCACACUAGGACUGGAACACGGCCCAGACUCCUGCGGGAGGCAGCAGUGGGGAAUGUUGGGCAAUGGGGGCAACCCUGAUCCAGCCAUCCCGCGUGUGCGAUGAAGGCCUUCGGUUUGUAAAGCACUUUUGGCAGGAAAGAAACGUCGCGGGCUAAUACCCCGUGGAACUGACGGUACCUGCAGAAUAAGCACCGGCUAACUACGUG